This 460-nucleotide ribosomal RNA is filed under the name uncultured bacterium. RNAcentral's name for it is "partial 16S ribosomal RNA". It matches the Rfam family "Bacterial small subunit ribosomal RNA", at positions 338 to 795 of the family's 1533-position model. The record is from RNAcentral.
CCUACGGGUGACAGCAGCGAGGAAUAUUGGUCAAUGGACGAGAGUCUGAACCAGCCAAGUAGCGUGAAGGAUGACUGCCCUAUGGGUUGUAAACUUCUUUUAUAUGGGAAUAAAAUGUUCCACGUGUGGGAUUUUGUAUGUACCAUAUGAAUAAGGAUCGGCUAACUCCGUGCCAGCAGCCGCGGUAAUACGGAGGAUCCGAGCGUUAUCCGGAUUUAUUGGGUUUAAAGGGAGCGUAGGUGGAUUGUUAAGUCAGUUGUGAAAGUUUGCGGCUCAACCGUAAAAUUGCAGUUGAAACUGGCAGUCUUGAGUACAGUAGAGGUGGGCGGAAUUCGUGGUGUAGCGGUGAAAUGCUUAGAUAUCACGAAGAACUCCGAUUGCGAAGGCAGUUCACUGGACUGCAACCGACACUGAGGCUCGAAAGUGUGGGUAUCAAACAGGAUUAGAUACCCCGGUAGUC